RNAcentral lists this transfer RNA (72 nucleotides) under Mimica arnoldii. RNAcentral describes it as "tRNA-Trp". It matches the Rfam family "tRNA". Rfam says of the family: Transfer RNA (tRNA) molecules are approximately 80 nucleotides in length. Their secondary structure includes four short double-helical elements and three loops (D, anti-codon, and T loops). The record is from RNAcentral. Lineage: Eukaryota; Rhodophyta; Florideophyceae; Gigartinales; Solieriaceae.
AGGAGAAUAGCUUAAUGGUAGAGCUCUGGUUUUCAAAACCACUGGUUGAGGGUUCAAGUCCUUCUUCUCCUG